AGCGCGAGUCAUCAGCUCGCGU
RNAcentral lists this ribosomal RNA (22 nucleotides) under Printzina cf. lagenifera TreFl42. Its description in RNAcentral is "partial 18S ribosomal RNA". Lineage: Eukaryota; Viridiplantae; Chlorophyta; Ulvophyceae; Trentepohliales; Trentepohliaceae. RNAcentral also lists the same sequence under 4 other names. The record is from RNAcentral.